UGCCAGCCGCCGCGGUAAUACGGAGGGUGCGAGCGUUGUUCGGAAUUACUGGGCGUAAAGCGCGUGUAGGCGGCUUCUUAAGUCUGGUGUGAAAUCCCGGGGCUCACCCCCGGAAGUGCAUUGGAUACUGGGAAGCUAGAGUACCGGAGAGGAGGGUGGAAUUCCUGGUGUAGCGGUGAAAUGCGUAGAUAUCUGGAGGAACAUCAGUGGCGAAGGCGGCUCCCUGGCCAAAGACUGACGCUCAUGUGCGAAAGUGUGGGUAGCGAACAGGAUUAGAUA
Molecule: ribosomal RNA, 279 nt
Filed under: uncultured bacterium
Lineage: Bacteria
Description: partial 16S ribosomal RNA
Rfam family: Bacterial small subunit ribosomal RNA
Source: RNAcentral